This 442-nucleotide ribosomal RNA is filed under the name uncultured bacterium. Its description in RNAcentral is "partial 16S ribosomal RNA". It matches the Rfam family "Bacterial small subunit ribosomal RNA", at positions 338 to 795 of the family's 1533-position model. The record is from RNAcentral.
CCUACGGGCGGCAGCAGUGGGGAAUAUUGGGCAAUGGGCGCAAGCCUGACCCAGCAACGCCGCGUGCAGGAAGACGGCUUUCGGGUUGUUAACUUCUUUUUAGAGGGAAGAGCAGAAGACGGUACCUCUUGAAUAAGCCACGGCUAACUACGUGCCAGCAGCCGCGGUAAUACGUAGGUGGCAGGCGUUGUCCGGAUUUACUGGGUGUAAAGGGCGUGCAGCCGGGAAGACAAGUCAGAUGUGAAAUCCCGCGGCUCAACCGCGGAACUGCAUUUGAAACUGUUUUUCUUGAGUACCGGAGAGGUCAUCGGAAUUCCUUGUGUAGCGGUGAAAUGCGUAGAUAUAAGGAAGAACACCAGUGGCGAAGGCGGAUGACUGGACGGCAACUGACGGUGAGGCGCGAAAGCGUGGGGAGCGAACAGGAUUAGAUACCCCAGUAGUC